GUUUGGCUCGACUCCCAUGUCUGCCCAUCCAUGAUCAGCAGGCAAUUGCCCCAAGGCAUAGGGGCGAGGAGAUUUAGAAGCUCUCGGAGUUAGGAGGAGGUCGAAUAUCAAAUCGAGAUAGAGAUUGUUAAGAUUUUAUGUCUCGAGAUUUAAUCCAUAUUGAGCCCACAGCGAGAUCCGCGAUGAAAAAUAGAAUCCAACG
RNAcentral lists this long non-coding RNA (202 nucleotides) under Elaeis guineensis (African oil palm). RNAcentral's name for it is "long non-coding RNA (EGUI_LNC028886)". The record is from RNAcentral. Lineage: Eukaryota; Viridiplantae; Streptophyta; Magnoliopsida; Arecales; Arecaceae.